RNAcentral lists this ribosomal RNA (609 nucleotides) under Triticum aestivum (bread wheat). RNAcentral describes it as "partial small subunit ribosomal RNA". The record is from RNAcentral. Lineage: Eukaryota; Viridiplantae; Streptophyta; Magnoliopsida; Poales; Poaceae.
AUGCAAUACAUCCAAGACCUCAGCAGCAAGGUCUGUUUUGCCUCAGUGGCACACCCAUGGAGCAACGGCCAAGCGGAGAGGGCAAAUGCUGAAGUGUUGCGAGGCCUGAGGACAAAGACUUUUGACAAGCUGCACAAGAGCGGAAGGCGCUGGAUUGAUGAGUUGCCGGCGGUUCUUUGGUCGAUCAGGACGACGCCAAAUCGAGCCACCGGCCAGACACCCUUUGCCAUGGUAUACGGGGCAGAAGCAGUACUCCCCACGGAACUCACAUACGGGUCACCUCGAGUGCUCGCUUACGAGGAGCUUGAGCAAGAGCAAUUGCGGCAAGAUGACGCAACGCUCCUUGAGGAAGAUCGUCUUCGGGCGGCUGUGAGAGCAGCACGCUACCAGCAAGCCUUGCGCCGCUACCAUAGCCGCAAGGUUCAUGCCCGAAGCUUUGAUGAAGGUGACCUUGUUCUUCAGCGCGUUCAGUUGUGGGGACCCCGACUCAUAAGUCGUGAUCACCGAAUGCACGUGUACAGUGAUCCCAGAGAUAAAUGCUCACUGAACACACAGAAGCUGAAUAACAAGAGUCUUACAUCCAUACAUAUCGUCUUACACAAAUUAUGA